Molecule: long non-coding RNA, 406 nt
Organism: Ornithodoros turicata
Lineage: Eukaryota; Metazoa; Arthropoda; Arachnida; Ixodida; Argasidae
Exons: 3
Source: RefSeq, a predicted model, not a curated record
GGCGACCUCACUAGAAUACAGCAGAAAAUGCAGAUGACAUCACGUGUCUGAAACAAAAAAGGGGAAGCAAGACAACAACAACAGCAGCAGUCCCUGCUCGGAAUCUGGGCCAUUGCCGACGAGGCAAUCGCUCGUGGCACCUGAAUACCUGGCGAGCGCGGAGUGAACGGAAAAAAGAAAGAAAGAAAGAAAUCUCGACCAACCACGAACCUGUUCCCUCGGUCAACCAUCGGAAUGAGGGCGUGCAACGCCCUCCGCCAACGCCGUCAUUGACAAGUAGAAGAAAUACCCGCAGGUGAAGCAGACGACGAGCAACGGGGCAAAGCAGACGUUGAACCCGUCCACUGUAGCAGGAAGUUUUCACAGGACUCGAAGAACGCUACGACGACGGUCACGCUCAGGCUGC